ACGCGAAGACCCCGCAAGGGGUUUGUAGCGUGGCAAACGGAUGAGUAACGCGUGGGCGACCUACCUUCGAGUGGGGGAUAACCUUCCGAAAGGAGGGCUAAUACCGCAUGACAUGCUCUGUUUAGAUACAGGGACAUCAAAGCCGGGGAUCGCAAGACCUGGCGCUUGACGAGGGGCCUACGUCCGAUUAGCUAGUUGGUGGGGUAAUGGCUCACCAAGGCGACGAUCGGUAUCCGGCCUGAGAGGGCGGACGGACACACUGGGACUGAGACACGGCCCAGACUCCUACGGGAGGCAGCAGUAGGGAAUUGUCCGCAAUGGGCGCAAGCCUGACGACGCAACGCCGCGUGGAGGAUGAAGACCUUCGGGUCGUAAACUCCUUUCGACCGAGAUGAAUACCUUUCGACCUAAUACGUCGAGAGGCUGACAGUAUCGAGGGAAGCAGCCCCGGCUAACUCCGUGCCAGCAGCCGCGGUAAUACGGGGGGGGCAAGCGUUG
RNAcentral lists this ribosomal RNA (498 nucleotides) under uncultured bacterium. Its description in RNAcentral is "bacterial SSU rRNA". It matches the Rfam family "Bacterial small subunit ribosomal RNA", at positions 66 to 543 of the family's 1533-position model. The record is from RNAcentral.